GAUGAACGCUGGCGGCGUGCCUAAUACAUGCAAGUCGAGCGAACAGAUAAGGAGCUUGCUCCUUUGACGUUAGCGGCGGACGGGUGAGUAACACGUGGGUAACCUACCUAUAAGACUGGAAUAACUCCGGGAAACCGGGGCUAAUGCCGGAUAACAUUUAGAACCGCAUGGUUCUAAAGUGAAAGAUGGUUUUGCUAUCACUUAUAGAUGGACCCGCGCCGUAUUAGCUAGUUGGUAAGGUAACGGCUUACCAAGGCAACGAUACGUAGCCGACCUGAGAGGGUGAUCGGCCACACUGGAACUGAGACACGGUCCAGACUCCCACGGGAGGCAGCAGUAGGGAAUCUUCCGCAAUGGGCGAAAGCCUGACGGAGCAACGCCGCGUGAGUGAUGAAGGUCUUCGGAUCGUAAAACUCUGUUAUUAGGGAAGAACAAAUGUGUAAGUAACUGUGCACGUCUUGACGGUACCUAAUCAGAAAGCCACGGCUAACUACGUG
RNAcentral lists this ribosomal RNA (497 nucleotides) under uncultured bacterium. Its description in RNAcentral is "partial 16S ribosomal RNA". It matches the Rfam family "Bacterial small subunit ribosomal RNA", at positions 28 to 507 of the family's 1533-position model. The record is from RNAcentral.